CUAUAGGUUGGUGCAAAAGUAAUCGCGGUUUUUGCCAUUACUUUAAUUAUUUUAAUGGCAAAAACCACGAUAACUUUUGCACCAUCCUAACUACU
This 95-nucleotide microRNA precursor is filed under the name Gorilla gorilla gorilla (western lowland gorilla). RNAcentral describes it as "miRNA (ENSGGOG00000031648.2)". Lineage: Eukaryota; Metazoa; Chordata; Mammalia; Primates; Hominidae. The record is from RNAcentral.